UGCAACUGGAAAAGGAAUAUCAAGACUAGCUUCUGCAGAUGUAUGAUCAUUAUGAUGAACAAAAUAACUUUGGAGCAGAUCAACCAAUUUUUAUCAUUAGCCCCAAAAACAAAAAGUCACUGGGCAUUUCAUUUGAUGUUGCAAGGGUGCACCAAGUACUAAAGAGGAAGGGUUUAACAGGGAAAAGAGGUCAAAGAGUUAAGGUUUUCAAGGGAGCAUGUGCUGGAGUUCAUAAAAACAAUAUCUAUGCAACAAUAGAUUAUUUUUUAAUUGAAGGUCUUCGUGGGGAUGCUGCUGGUAGGCACUGGUUUUAAGACUCUUAGACUUAUAGACCAUGACUAUUAGUUUGCUUUUUAUCAUUUCGUAAUAGGACAAAUGUAUUGUUGACAUGUUUACAUAAUUUAAUCUUCUUGCAAAUUUGAUAAAUUUCACCCUCCCUUUUUUACAUUUCUAAUAGGUGAUGCUCGAAUUAUAUGCAGGUAUGCUAUCUUGUGCAUUUGUGGCUCUAAAAGUUCUAUUUUUAGUGUAUAAAUAUAAUCCUUGUACUUGUUGUUUCACAAACAUGUGAUGUCUAAUAUCUUUUAUUGUCUGAAAGGCCAAUAGGUCUCAUGGAUAAGGAAGGAUGUGUCCUCGUGGAGAACAAUGGGACUGAUAGCUUGGAUAUUUUUGGCAACUUAUUGUUACCUAUUGGCAUAAUUGAUUUUGGAAAAGUUUUCCAUUUAGUUUCAA
Molecule: long non-coding RNA, 729 nt
Organism: Pistacia vera
Lineage: Eukaryota; Viridiplantae; Streptophyta; Magnoliopsida; Sapindales; Anacardiaceae
Exons: 2
Source: RefSeq, a predicted model, not a curated record